Long non-coding RNA from Nicotiana tabacum (common tobacco), 1670 nucleotides. RefSeq lists it as uncharacterized. The record is from RefSeq and is a predicted model, not a curated record. Lineage: Eukaryota; Viridiplantae; Streptophyta; Magnoliopsida; Solanales; Solanaceae.
UUAAACCCUAAACCUAGGAAAUAUAGAAACGGCGCCCCCUUGUUCUGUUCAUCUUCUUCGUCGAUUCAAACCUCAACUCGCUUGAAACUCACGCGAGUUCACUCAAAUGGGUCCCUUCUCUCCACGUCACUUUAUUCCAACAGAUUUCAAUCAGAGAAAAGAAUAUGCCCUCCGAAUUUGCACGAUUUCUGUACUAUUGAGCGUUUUGCUGGAUGAAUGGGAGCCAUGGAUGAUGAAAAUCAAUCCAUUCCUUCCAUUUGUCCCUAAAAUCGCUCACAAACGAGGGGAUUUUUCGGAUUUUUGGGUAGAAGCUUCGAGAUUUUUGAGGGUUAAAUAUAAGAAGCGGCUGCUUUCUUCUUGGUUUGCUUGACCUUUAUUUGGUCUUAUUCCUUCUCUUGUUCUGUUUUCAAGGUAAACAUCUACCUCCUCCUAUUGUUUGUUUUAUUGAUGUAUUAAAGGUUGUGAUGAAAUGACAUUGUUUGUUUAUCCGACAGGAUAUGCUUAAACUUGCUUGAAUGGUCAUUUGAACUUAACAAUGAAGAUUAAAAAAUGUUCUUGGCUUGUUGUGUCGUUUCGUGCUUCUAAAACUCACGGUUACACACACAAACUCAUUACAUUUAAUCAUUCAUAUGGUUUGCUAAUGUUAUUGUGUAGAUUUACUAAAAGUUGAAACGAAGCCUUAUAAGUUCAAAUUAGAUUUUAAAACUGAUGAAUCUAGGUGAGGGGUUUAAAUUGUUUUACUUCCCUUAUCAAGAUAUAGCAGAAUGUGUAUUUGUAUGUGUGUGUGUUUAUUGAUGUGCGUGGUUUUAGAUUGGUUAAUCACUUCUUCUCCUUUUCUUUUUGUUCCUUUAUCAACUAUCUCUCCCAUUAGAGCUUCUUCAUAUAUAAUAUCUUCAAAAGUUCUCAUGUAAUUGUUCUGUUGCAUUUUUUAUUUCUGUCCCACCUCAUGAUGCAGUUCAAUCUGGUCUUAUAUGAUAGUUCUUCGUUUAUGGAAGUUCCUUUCCUUAUUUGUUUACUAGUAAAGUUAGAAUUUUGAUUACACUAUUGUCUAUUCCCACCUGCAAGGGGACUUUUCUCUUCUCUGUUAUUCACUGCCCAAAUUCUUCCUGUUUCAUAGACGGGAUCUGGAAUAGUGAGGAGAGUUGGAGUCUUUAGGUUGGAAGGUGAUAUAGGUGGAGGAGUAGUUAUGAAACGAUACAGAUCUUUGCCAAAAGCCACUUCCUCUAGAUGUCACUUUAUAUGAAGAUAUAUAUAUGUUUGUGAGAAGAGCUAGUUGCUUACUUGCCUACUUUGUGAUUAUUUGGAGGAAAUGCAAAGAUUUUAUAUAGAGAGCUAAGGCUUUAUCUGUGGUGUCUCAUGAAAUUUCUGUGCAACUGAUCGGAGAUUCAUGCUUAUUUCUUGUAUGUUGUGUGUGUACGUGUAUUGUUUGUGUGUAUUUAUGAUGUUUAUUUAUUCACUGUCAAUCAUGUAAAAUUUAAAGACUAAUGUUUAGUCCUUAAUUAGCAGAAUGAAUGUGUGAAGGUUAGUCACAUAUGAAUGUAAAGACUGAUCUCUUUUAUUUAUUAUUCUUUGCCGUUAUAUGUAUAUGUGUGUCAGUGUGUUAGAGAUUCCAAUGUAGUGAGGACAUUCGAAUUUCUUCCUAUUUUGUCAAUUAUACAGCAAUUAACUCA